RNAcentral lists this ribosomal RNA (450 nucleotides) under uncultured bacterium. RNAcentral describes it as "bacterial SSU rRNA". It matches the Rfam family "Bacterial small subunit ribosomal RNA", at positions 28 to 507 of the family's 1533-position model. The record is from RNAcentral.
GAUGAACGCUGGCGGCGUGCCUAAUACAUGCAAGUCGAACGAUCCGCAAGGAUAGUGGCGAACGGGUGAGUAACGCGUUGGUGACCUGCCCUGAAGAGGGGGAUAACGGAUCGAAAGGUCCGUUAAUACCGCAUAAGCUCUUGCUAGUUAGAGAGGCAAGAGGAAAGCCGAAAGGCGCUUUAGGAGGGACCUGCGUCCCAUCAGCUAGUUGGUAAGGUAGCGGCUUACCAAGGCGAUGACGGGUAGGGGACCUGAGAGGGUGACCCCCCCACAAUGGAACUGAAACACGGUCCAUACACCUACGGGUGGCAGCAGUAGGGAAUAUUGGUUAAUGGGCGAAAGCCUGACCCAGCAACGCCGCGUGAACGAUGAAGGCCUUCGGUUGUAAAGUUCUUUUGACAGGGAUGAGGAAGGACAGUACCUGUCGAAUAAGUCUCGGCUAACUACGUG